AUUAUACCCCCUCCGUUCGAAAAUACUUGUGAUCAAAAUGGAUAAAAAAAGAUAUAUCUAGAACUAAAAUACGUCGAUACAUCUUCUUUUAUCCAUUUUGAUGACAAGUAUUUCUAGACGGAGGGAGUAGCUA
Non-coding RNA from Triticum urartu, 133 nucleotides. Lineage: Eukaryota; Viridiplantae; Streptophyta; Magnoliopsida; Poales; Poaceae. The record is from Rfam.